GCCUUCGUAGCUCAGAGGUAGAGCAUCCGACUCUUAAUCGGAGGGGCGGGAUUUCGAAAUUCCCCGGAGGCA
This 72-nucleotide transfer RNA is filed under the name Micromonospora parathelypteridis. RNAcentral describes it as "tRNA-Lys". It matches the Rfam family "tRNA". From Rfam's summary of the family: Transfer RNA (tRNA) molecules are approximately 80 nucleotides in length. The record is from RNAcentral. Lineage: Bacteria; Bacillati; Actinomycetota; Actinomycetes; Micromonosporales; Micromonosporaceae.